AUUCCUACGGGGCGCAGCAGUGAGGAAUAUUGGUCAAUGGGCGCGAGCCUGAACCAGCCAAGUCGCGUGAGGGAGGACGGCCCUACGGGUUGUAAACCUCUUUUGCCGGGGAGCAACGGGCGUCACGUGUGGCGCCACUGAGAGUACCCGGAGAAAAAGCAUCGGCUAACUCCGUGCCAGCAGCCGCGGUAAUACGGAGGAUGCGAGCGUUAUCCGGAUUUAUUGGGUUUAAAGGGUGCGUAGGCGGUAUUUUAAGUUAGUGGUAAAACGUCGGGGAUU
This 279-nucleotide ribosomal RNA is filed under the name uncultured bacterium. RNAcentral describes it as "partial 16S ribosomal RNA". It matches the Rfam family "Bacterial small subunit ribosomal RNA", at positions 335 to 610 of the family's 1533-position model. The record is from RNAcentral.